Molecule: ribosomal RNA, 500 nt
Filed under: uncultured bacterium
Lineage: Bacteria
Description: bacterial SSU rRNA
Rfam family: Bacterial small subunit ribosomal RNA
Source: RNAcentral
AAGAACGCUGGCGGCAGGCCUAACACAUGCAAGUCGAGCGAGAAACCAUCUUCGGGUGGCGGACAGCGGCGGACGGGUGAGUAAUGCGUGGGAAUAUGCCCUUUGGUAUGGAAUAGCCCCUGGAAACGGGGAGUAAUACCGUAUGUGCCCUACGGGGAAAAGAUUUAUCGCCAAAGGAUUAGCCCAUGUUGGAUUAGCUGGUUGGUGAGGUAAAAGCUCACCAAGGCGACGAUCUAUAGCUGGUUUGAGAGGAUGAUCAGCCACACUGGGACUGAGACACGGCCCAGACUCCUACGGGAGGCAGCAGUGGGGAAUAUUAGACAAUGGGCGAAAGCCUGAUCUAGCCAUGCCGCGUGAGUGAAGAAGGCCCUAGGGUUGUAAAGCUCUUUCAGAUGUGAGGAUGAUGACAGUAACAUCAGAAGAAGCCCCGGCUAACUUCGUGCCAGCAGCCGCGGUAAUACGAAGGGGGCUAGCGUNGUUCGGAAUUACUGGGCGUAAAG